RNAcentral lists this ribosomal RNA (1522 nucleotides) under Salmonella enterica. RNAcentral's name for it is "bacterial SSU rRNA". It matches the Rfam family "Bacterial small subunit ribosomal RNA". The record is from RNAcentral. Lineage: Bacteria; Pseudomonadati; Pseudomonadota; Gammaproteobacteria; Enterobacterales; Enterobacteriaceae.
UUUCAUGGCUCAGAUUGAACGCUGGCGGCAGGCCUAACACAUGCAAGUCGAACGGUAACAGGAAGCAGCUUGCUGCUUUGCUGACGAGUGGCGGACGGGUGAGUAAUGUCUGGGAAACUGCCUGAUGGAGGGGGAUAACUACUGGAAACGGUGGCUAAUACCGCAUAACGUCGCAAGACCAAAGAGGGGGACCUUCGGGCCUCUUGCCAUCAGAUGUGCCCAGAUGGGAUUAGCUUGUUGGUGAGGUAACGGCUCACCAAGGCGACGAUCCCUAGCUGGUCUGAGAGGAUGACCAGCCACACUGGAACUGAGACACGGUCCAGACUCCUACGGGAGGCAGCAGUGGGGAAUAUUGCACAAUGGGCGCAAGCCUGAUGCAGCCAUGCCGCGUGUAUGAAGAAGGCCUUCGGGUUGUAAAGUACUUUCAGCGGGGAGGAAGGUGUUGUGGUUAAUAACCGCAGCAAUUGACGUUACCCGCAGAAGAAGCACCGGCUAACUCCGUGCCAGCAGCCGCGGUAAUACGGAGGGUGCAAGCGUUAAUCGGAAUUACUGGGCGUAAAGCGCACGCAGGCGGUCUGUCAAGUCGGAUGUGAAAUCCCCGGGCUCAACCUGGGAACUGCAUUCGAAACUGGCAGGCUUGAGUCUUGUAGAGGGGGGUAGAACCAGGUGUAGCGGUGAAAUGCGUAGAGAUCUGGAGGAAUACCGGUGGCGAAGGCGGCCCCCUGGACAAAGACUGACGCUCAGGUGCGAAAGCGUGGGGAGCAAACAGGAUUAGAUACCCUGGUAGUCCACGCCGUAAACUGUCUACUUGGAGGUUGUGCCCUUGAGGCGUGGCUUCCGGAGCUAACGCGUUAAGUAGACCGCCUGGGAGUACGGCCGCAAGGUUAAAACUCAAAUGAAUUGACGGGGGCCCGCACAAGCGGUGGAGCAUGUGGUUUAAUUCGAUGCAACGCGAAGAACCUUACCUGGUCUUGACAUCCACAGAACUUUCCAGAGAUGGAUUGGUGCCUUCGGGAACUGUGAGACAGGUGCUGCAUGGCUGUCGUCAGCUCGUGUUGUGAAAUGUUGGGUUAAGUCCCGCAACGAGCGCAACCCUUAUCCUUUGUUCCCAGCGGUCCGGCCGGGAACUCAAAGGAGACUGCCAGUGAUAAACUGGAGGAAGGUGGGGAUGACGUCAAGUCAUCAUGGCCCUUACGACCAGGGCUACACACGUGCUACAAUGGCGCAUACAAAGAGAAGCGACCUCGCGAGAGCAAGCGGACCUCAUAAAGUGCGUCGUAGUCCGGAUUGGAGUCUGCAACUCGACUCCAUGAAGUCGGAAUCGCUAGUAAUCGUGGAUCAGAAUGCCACGGUGAAUACGUUCCCGGGCCUUGUACACACCGCCCGUCACACCAUGGGAGUGGGUUGCAAAAGAAGUAGGUAGCUUAACCUUCGGGGGGGCGCUUACCACUUUGUGAUUCAUGACUGGGGUGAAGUCGUAACAAGGUAACCGUAGGGGAACCUGCGGUUGGAUCCCCCCCUA